AGGAGGGGAAUGUCAUACUUUUGGAUCAAAGACUUUGGAAAUUAAAAUCUUUGUCAACUCUUACUGGCAUAUUGCUUAUUAGAGGGACCAUGUGCUAUCAUUUUCUUUUUCUUCUCUUUUUUUAAGUGGAUACCGAGGUACCCCUAAUUCUACUGCCGGACACUUGUCCAUUUUUUUCUGCGAGAUUGUCGAGCACUUGCCCCUUUUUAUUUUCUCGAAAUAUCUUUAUUUUUGCAUAGCCCAUGCCUCUAAUGCAAUAAUACUUCGAAAGAGUGAAUCUUUCUGAAUAAAUGUCUUGAUCUUAGGAGCAUGAUAAAUCUCUCAACAAGGGUCUAACUCAUUUUGAACAAACUCAAUACAGAGUAGAUAGCUUUUAUAAUCAUAAUUAAUAUUUUCAGUUUUAUCAGGCAUAUAAAACACUGAGAUGGUAGCUAGAAUUUUGAAGAUUUUGAAAUAAAUUCUCCAAGCAAUAAUGAUAUCAAGAAUAAGAAACUCAUACUCUACCAUCUCACAUUCCACAAUGACUUAAGUAACACAGGGUUUUAAAAUGAUUUUAUAAUAGUUGCAAGUUUUCAGGAAAUAUCACAGAGUGAGAUUAAUCAUAUUUAGAAACAUUUUAAGCUUUGUAAUUUAUCAUGUCGGAAACAAUAUUCUGCAUAUUCUAAGAUAUAAAUAAGUAUGUGUAAAGUGUGUAGAGUGUGUACCUGAAUCGUGGAGUGGUGUAGUCGAAGUGUGUUUAGCAUGUCGAGGGAUCUCCCCCAUACUUGUUUUCUGCUUUCUUACACAAAAAUAAAGUAGAGACACACAAGACAUAAUAAUAAUAAUAAUAAUACUCUU
Molecule: long non-coding RNA, 837 nt
Filed under: Sorghum bicolor (sorghum)
Lineage: Eukaryota; Viridiplantae; Streptophyta; Magnoliopsida; Poales; Poaceae
Description: long non-coding RNA (SBIC_LNC014008)
Source: RNAcentral